This 1378-nucleotide long non-coding RNA is filed under the name Phoenix dactylifera (date palm). RNAcentral describes it as "long non-coding RNA (PDAC_LNC006518)". The record is from RNAcentral. Lineage: Eukaryota; Viridiplantae; Streptophyta; Magnoliopsida; Arecales; Arecaceae.
CCAUGCCCACUUCACCAAAGCAGGUCUCUUCGGUGAAGGCCAUCCGCUCAUGGUGGGCACUGCUUUGGUUUUGGUUGAAGCCAAUGGACGAGCGAACCAGUUCAAUGCUGGGGACAAAUCACACCCUCAAGCAUGAAAGGUGCAUGCCUUGGAUGAAGUGGUUCUCCCCAGAUGCGGCCUCUCGAAUCCCUGCUGUGUGGAUAAUUACUUGGAAAAAUUGUGAUGAGCGAGGAGAGAAAUAACAGCCUCUGCUCCGGUAUGCUGUGGUCGGAUUAGCACAAGGCCUGGGAGAUCGUUGUCAGAUUCUGUUCCUCUGAAGACGAGGGAGUUAAGCUCCGUAAGCACCAUGCUCCCGUUGAGGGAGUCAAGCUUCCUGAGCACCUGUUUUUUAGUGCUCCGUAACUGUAGCAGCCGCGCAUCAAACUAUACCGUUAGAAAUUUGACCGGUAAAUUUGGCAGACGUGAUCUCAUUCCAAACUCCAGCAGCGGCGUGUCAAAUUGUACCGUCAGAAGCUUGGCGGAUAAAUUUGGCAGGUGCGAUCUCAUUCCAAACUCUAGCAGCGGCGCAUCAACCAUACCGUCAGAAAUUUGACAGAUAAAAUUAGUAGGCGUGAUCUCAUUCCAAACCUCAGCAAUGGUGCGUCAAACCAUACCGUCAGAAAUUUAGUGGGUAAAAUUAGCAGGUGUGAUCUCGUUCCAAACUUCCAGCAGCGGCGUGUCAAACCAUACCGUCAGCAAUUGGACAGGUAAAUUUGGCAGGCGUGAUCUCGCUCUUGAUCAUGGAGGCAUGCAUCUGCAUGGCAUCGCCCCAGUCUUCAAUCUCCGAUUUUAUUUACUGCACUUGGCUCUCUUUUUUUUUGACGGGUUCUUCAUACAAUGUGGAUAUGAAUACGCCUAAUAAAAUCAAAAAACAUAAGCUCACGAAGUGCCCAUGGCAGCUUCCCUUCAUCUAACCACAGGGUGUAUACUGAGUAGUGAGCUGCAGAGGCAGCCACCUAGUCAGCCAUCCUGUUGGCCUCUCUAAAUAUAUGCUUGGCCUGGAAGGCUAUCCCAUCCCUCAUCAUCAUCCCUAUAUCCUGGAUUAGGAGGUGGUCUGUGCUCUCGCCCCUCGGACCCUUCUAAAUUCAUCUGAUCACCGUGGCUGAAUCGCCCUCCAAGAUAACCGAAUUGGCCUGUAACACCUGUCGCACAUGUCGAAGACUCGCUCAGGCAACCCGCAACUCUGCCUCGAGAAUCGACUUGUCAAACAACUGGCAUUCGCCUGCUAUCACUACCAUGAAAUGCGGGUUCCAUAUAACAAAGCCCACACCUCCCUGCUCACCUCCAUCCAGCACCGACUCGUCAAAAUUGACCUUGAGAAAGCUCGGAGGUGGGGGCU